RNAcentral lists this ribosomal RNA (429 nucleotides) under Acidobacteriota bacterium. RNAcentral's name for it is "Acidobacteria bacterium partial 16S ribosomal RNA". It matches the Rfam family "Bacterial small subunit ribosomal RNA", at positions 355 to 776 of the family's 1533-position model. The record is from RNAcentral. Lineage: Bacteria; Pseudomonadati; Acidobacteriota.
UGGGGAAUUUUGGACAAUGGGGGAAACCCUGAUCCAGCCAUCCCGCGUGUGCGAUGAAGGCCUUCGGGUUGUAAAGCACUUUUGGCAGGAAAGAAACGUCAUGGGUUAAUACCCCGUGAAACUGACGGUACCUGCAGAAUAAGCACCGGCUAACUACGUGCCAACAGCCGCGGUAAUACGUAGGGUGCAAGCGUUAAUCGGAAUUACUGGGCGUAAAGCGUGCGCAGGCGGUUCGGAAAGAAAGAUGUGAAAUCCCAGAGCUCAACUUUGGAACUGCAUUUUUAACUACCGGGCUAGAGUGUGUCAGAGGGAGGUGGAAUUCCGCGUGUAGCAGUGAAAUGCGUAGAUAUGCGGAGGAACACCGAUGGCGAAGGCAGCCUCCUGGGAUAACACUGACGCUCAUGCACGAAAGCGUGGGGAGCAAACAGG